AGUGAACGCUGGCGGUAGGCCUAACACAUGCAAGUCGAACGGCAGCACAGUAAGAGCUUGCUCUUACGGGUGGCGAGUGGCGGACGGGUGAGGAAUACAUCGGAAUCUACUUUUUCGUGGGGGAUAACGUAGGGAAACUUACGCUAAUACCGCAUAUGACCUACGGGUGAAAGCAGGGGAUCUUCGGACCUUGCGCGAUUGAAUGAGCCGAUGUCGGAUUAGCUAGUUGGCGGGGUAAAGGCCCACCAAGGCGACGAUCCGUAGCUGGUCUGAGAGGAUGAUCAGCCACACUGGAACUGAGACACGGUCCAGACUCCUACGGGAGGCAGCAGUGGGGAAUAUUGGACAAUGGGCGCAAGCCUGAUCCAGCCAUACCGCGUGAGUGAAGAAGGCCUUCGGGUUGUAAAGCCCUUUUGUUGGGAAAGAAAAGCAGCAGGUUAAUACCCCGCUGUUCUGACGGUACCCAAAGAGUAAGCACCGGCUAACUUCGUG
RNAcentral lists this ribosomal RNA (492 nucleotides) under uncultured bacterium. RNAcentral describes it as "partial 16S ribosomal RNA". It matches the Rfam family "Bacterial small subunit ribosomal RNA", at positions 29 to 507 of the family's 1533-position model. The record is from RNAcentral.